RNAcentral lists this ribosomal RNA (1188 nucleotides) under Microbacteriaceae str. W7. Its description in RNAcentral is "bacterial SSU rRNA". It matches the Rfam family "Bacterial small subunit ribosomal RNA", at positions 129 to 1329 of the family's 1533-position model. Lineage: Bacteria; Bacillati; Actinomycetota; Actinomycetes; Micrococcales; Microbacteriaceae. The record is from RNAcentral.
CCCCUGACUCUGGGAUAAGCGCUGGAAACGGCGUCUAAUACUGGAUACGAACCGUGGAGGCAUCUUCAACGGUUGGAAAGAUUUUUUGGUCAGGGAUGAGCUCGCGGCCUAUCAGCUUGUUGGUGAGGUAAUGGCUCACCAAGGCGUCGACGGGUAGCCGGCCUGAGAGGGUGACCGGCCACACUGGGACUGAGACACGGCCCAGACUCCUACGGGAGGCAGCAGUGGGGAAUAUUGCACAAUGGGCGCAAGCUGAUGCAGCAACGCCGCGUGAGGCGAUGACGGCCUUCGGGUUGUAAACCUCUUUUAGCAGGGAAGAAGCGAAAGUGACGGUACCUGCAGAAAAAGCGCCGGCUAACUACGUGCCAGCAGCCGCGGUAAUACGUAGGGCGCAAGCGUUAUCCGGAAUUAUUGGGCGUAAAGAGCUCGUAGGCGGUUUGUCGCGUCUGCUGUGAAAUCCCGAGGCUCAACCUCGGGUCUGCAGUGGGUACGGGCAGACUAGAGUGCGGUAGGGGAGAUUGGAAUUCCUGGUGUAGCGGUGGAAUGCGCAGAUAUCAGGAGGAACACCGAUGGCGAAGGCAGAUCUCUGGGCCGUAACUGACGCUGAGGAGCGAAAGGGUGGGGAGCAAACAGGCUUAGAUACCCUGGUAGUCCACCCCGUAAACGUUGGGAACUAGUUGUGGGGUCCAUUCCACGGAUUCCGUGACGCAGCUAACGCAUUAAGUUCCCCGCCUGGGGAGUACGGCCGCAAGGCUAAAACUCAAAGGAAUUGACGGGGACCCGCACAAGCGGCGGAGCAUGCGGAUUAAUUCGAUGCAACGCGAAGAACCUUACCAAGGCUUGACAUAUACGAGAACGCUGCAGAAAUGUAGAACUCUUUGGACACUCGUAAACAGGUGGUGCAUGGUUGUCGUCAGCUCGUGUCGUGAGAUGUUGGGUUAAGUCCCGCAACGAGCGCAACCCUCGUUCUAUGUUGCCAGCACGUAAUGGUGGGAACUCAUGGGAUACUGCCGGGGUCAACUCGGAGGAAGGUGGGGAUGACGUCAAAUCAUCAUGCCCCUUAUGUCUUGGGCUUCACGCAUGCUACAAUGGCCGGUACAAAGGGCUGCAAUACCGUAAGGUGGAGCGAAUCCCAAAAAGCCGGUCCCAGUUCGGAUUGAGGUCUGCAACUCGACCUCAUGAAGUCGG